AAUCCCGGCAAUGGGCAAAGAGACACCUUGUUGCUGGUGUUGUUCUUAUAUCAGUUAGGGACAGAGCAGAUGGCAGUCCUUUGUUCAUCCUAGCUUGAUUCCUGGCUUGGUGGACAAAGCUGUCUUAUGCCUAGGACACAUAA
Arvicanthis niloticus (Nile rat) is the source of this 143-nucleotide small nucleolar RNA. RefSeq annotates it as small nucleolar RNA SNORA48. The record is from RefSeq and is a predicted model, not a curated record. Lineage: Eukaryota; Metazoa; Chordata; Mammalia; Rodentia; Muridae.